This 4248-nucleotide ribosomal RNA is filed under the name Triticum aestivum (bread wheat). RNAcentral's name for it is "partial small subunit ribosomal RNA". The record is from RNAcentral. Lineage: Eukaryota; Viridiplantae; Streptophyta; Magnoliopsida; Poales; Poaceae.
UGCCCGAGGAGAGAGCGUAUAGGGGUGUCCGCGGAGGUCGGGGGGCAUGCUUUUGGCCUCCGCUUUUGGGAGUUUGGGAUUAGGGGUACCGCCUGAGGCUGCGUAGCCGCGGCGGCGGUCUCCAUCGCUGGCUCUACUUCUAAGGUCAGCAUCUGGAGUGGCUGCGGCACGUCCUUCUGCGACGUAGACUGGGACGCCGCCGGCGGGGGUGCGUCCUUCUCCGCGGUAGUCUCCAACGGCUGCGGCUUCCGCUGGUGUUCUCCUUCGAGCUCCUCCAGCUGCGCCCGCGCCUCCGGUUGCCGCGGCCCCUCCUGCGGUUCGCUGGCGCGCACCUUCCGUUGCCGCGUCUACGGCACGUUUUGUCACUCAGGAGGCUCUUCGGGCUCCUCGGUCAGCGACACUAAUGACUCCCCCGCCGUCUACGGCUCCAACGAGGAUGGCCGCUAGACGUCUGUUCAAGACUCCAGUUCGGUGUCCUCUGACGUUGAGUUCGUGACGGUGUUGUCGUUCUUCCACUACGUUGGCCACGGGACGUCCUCUGAUGGGCGGAUUAACUACACGGGUUAUGAUUCCAGCCACAAGAUUAACCUUUUCGUCCACUUUGCUAGUCUUUGGACGUUUACUCGAGCCCGCGUUUCUAGGUUUAGUGUUUCCUACGUCUACAGGGAAGUCUACGGUGCUGAGCAGGUCAGCUUAACCAACCUUGAUUGCUCUCAUAACUGUUCCGACUCGUCGAAUAAUUCUCACAAUAUCGGCUCCGACUCCGACCGCCAAGGGGACGGAACUAUCGGUUUCCAAAGCCCAGACCAGUCAGUCCAAGUCUCGUCAAACUCUACGAUCAGGGACUAUUAUUCCAACCAAAUUAAUAACCUUUUCCUCCACUCUGUUAAUUUUUGGACGUUUGGGCUAGACCACGAGCUUAGGUCAAUUAAGGAGUUGUAGGAGGCCGCCCAUGAUGUGACUGACUUUCCUGACAUGCACAAUGACCGUUAUUCUUCGUCUAUCUUCGACGUUUUCUCAACUAAUUCGUUCGAUACUCAGUCCACUACACUGGGACGAAACACGAAAAAACAAGGUAAUAAAGACACUACUUCGAUUACGAAGUAAGACAGAUAACAGGUAUACAUGUAAACACGACACUAAUGGACGUACUACGAAUACGGGGACACUAUUUGCAUCACUAUAACUUAUAUCACAACAGCGUUUUUUUUAGUUCAAACACAUAAUACGAUGAACCAUGCUUUAGUAUCGUACAUGCUAACGGACAGAAAAAAGUAAAGAUGGAACACACUAACCAUGUUGACGAAAAUCGAUACAGUGUUAAAACCAUCAAUUCAUAUACAAUAAGUACCACGAUACGAUUACGACGAUUAUUUACAUUACGUGAAUUAGUAGAAUUGAAAAGUUUGAAAAAACAGUUAAUACAAGUUUACGGAGCAGAUACUUAUUCUGACCUCUACAUAACGGACUUUCCUCAAAGGGUAAUCAACAAAAAACCUCAUUUUGGAAAAUAGAAGACUAUUAUCCUUGACUUUUAACAGGAUCAGCUACGGUAAAAACAUUGAACGCAACUACGAGGGUAAAAUUGUAUAUAUCUUGUCAACACCGACAAGGUAAGGUCGAAACGUAGAACAUUUAAACUUGUGACAAGUACACAUAUACUCGUGUGAAAUCGCGUUCACGUUAGGACUAAUUUAUCGUUAGGCUUUUAUCAGUGAAAUAGCACGAACCCCACAACAUAUAACGGGGAACGGGUAAAUACCUUAGACUUCAUACUGAUCUGAUUAGACACAGAAGAUGUUACCCGGAUAUACUGUAAGAACUAUAUAUCUUCACGGAUCGACCUGACCUUCCAUUCAAGAGGCAAACGGGAUGAAAGGAACUAGCUAGUUAGUCAGUCACUGUACGUCAGCCGAACUAACCCAACAUCAUCAAAGUGGGUGUAUUGAAACAACACCCAAUAAACAAUGACAAUCUCAAGAUAAGAGGUGGUUUAAAACGGGACUUUAUAAAUCAUGAGGGAGACAGGGUAUUAUAUUCUUGCAAAAAGUUCGAUUGUAUCGAAGUUUUUGCAAGAAUAUAAUACCCUGCCUCCCUCAUACAUAAAACGGGACUUUAUAAAUCAUACGGUGGAAAACAAGACGUACAGUGAUAUUUUAAACUCACAACGGACGUUGGACGGGUAGUACAAUAACACGAAACCACGUCAUAGUCGUGCUUUGUAUUGCACGCCGUAGCUAAUAAAUCUUUAUUUUAAUCCUUGUUUACCAAGUGGUGGUCAAGUAUAACUUACUAAACAUAAAACCUGGAUCCUUUCGACCUAUGUCAAUGUUUUUGUUAUUAUCUUCUCAAGUACCAAGAUCACAUUGACCGAACGGGAUACAAAAAUGGACUAGGGACCGAGACCGAAAUGUGUACCAAACCAGUUAAUCGGAGAACGAUUGAGAUCUAUUUUAGACUAUGACAAAGGAUGUAGCCUUCAGCAUCGACUGUGUAGUCCAAUAGAGGGAAGGUCAAAGGCACUUAAUAGAAAACAACUUCCACGGUUAACCUCAACCGACCCAUAUGGUUACGUCUAAGUCGAUCCGGAAGGACUACCCCAGUAGAGGAAGUAGGCAACGUAGUGUCGUCUCCCUAUAACUAGCAACAGGGAACCUGGAACAUACCAAAAACAUCAACCCCAUUGACCAUUCCGACGAAUACCGACUUACCCUUUCUUUUUGGUUAAGACGUAACCUUCUGACGUGGUUAACAUAGUAACGGUACUGUUCCUAUGACGUAGUGGUACAGAUCUGUAAAGGUUCUUUGUGUUGAGUCAGACCACCGAUACCAGGCGUUGUAGUAGUGGGAGUCCCAGUACCGGGUCGAAGAGUCACCCCCGGUGCAAGAGUUGGAGUCGUCAUACCUAUAGGUGGUUCUCCCGGAGGAGUCUUGCGCGGUAUGAGAGUUGGGGGAAUACCACCAAUGGGUGUCGUCGGCGGUGGAUCUCCACCGUACCCGACCCUGGUCUCCGUCCCGGGAGGCGGAGUGGUCCCACCACCAAUACUGAUGAUGUUUGUCCCUAGAGUUGGCAUACUUUCGGUCGGUGGUUUGAUGGGGGGACCUGAUCCAUUGAUGUUGUCGAUACCGGGUAGUGUUCGAGGUUCGAUACCUGUCGGAGUCAUAGGUGUCAGACGCGGAGGUGUCUUGAUACCGGGACCUAUACCACUAGGAUCCAUGUCACGAGGUCGAGGUCGGGUCGUCAUGAUACCCGUCGGUGGUCGGCCAGGCGUCGUUCCAAUGGGAGUUGUCGGUCUAGGAAUACGAUCUGGAGGUAUACCACCUGGACCUGUUACCGGUGGGUCUCCGUCACGUGGACGUCUACCACGAAUGGUCCGUGGUGGGGGACGUAGAAUACGAGGCGGUCGGGUCGUUGGAGGACGAAUACCAGUUUGUAUGGGUUGACCUGGACUACCCAUACGAGUCGUCCCAAUGAGUGUCGUCCCACCCGUUCCCGGUCGUCGUAUACCAGUCUCACGAGGCCGUCCUGGUCCCAUGUCAGUCGUCCCGCCGAUACGCGUCAUAGGACGCAGCGUCGGUCGUAUGCCACUAGUCAGUCGAGUUUUGUUGCGUUUGAUACCGAUAGUCCCUCGGGGUCGACUAGGGUCGAUACCUUUACGGAUGGGUGUCAGUCCUAUACGACGACGUGGCUGUUGACCAGUCGGACCUAUACCAGUCCGUCCUAUGUGGGUCGGUGGUCGAUGUUUGGGUGGUUCAAUACUAGUCAGACGCGGUGGCCGUCGAGUUUCACCGAUACGACGUGGACGACGUUUGGGUGUCGGACGCCAACGUUUCCCGCACAGCGGAGUCGGACGAUGACGACGACCUAUGCCGCCCGUCACCUGACGUACUGAAGACAAGACUUCGGGGCGACUUUCGUUCUAUAUAAACUCUCGAUAUACAAAACAGCGGACGACAAAAUUUAGAAACCCUACUCCGAACGGCAGAUUUUCAAAUAUGAGAGACAUCAUGAUCAUCUAACAAUACAAUUGAAACUUGAAAACUCAACUUUUCUCUUGGACCAAUCGAAUAACGGACACUCUCAUUAAAGACGUACAGAACGAACAAAAACAACGCGAAAUCGAUACAAGUAAGAAGACGAACGGCUUCGUUAAAACUGGUUACACGACACGACUACAAGAAACUCUUACACAGGACUGGUAACAUUCGGGGUUCGGGUAAGACCUUUAGAUUGUUGAAUGACAGUUU